RNAcentral lists this ribosomal RNA (555 nucleotides) under uncultured bacterium. RNAcentral describes it as "partial 16S ribosomal RNA". It matches the Rfam family "Bacterial small subunit ribosomal RNA", at positions 355 to 900 of the family's 1533-position model. The record is from RNAcentral.
UAGGGAAUCUUCCACAAUGGACGCAAGUCUGAUGGAGCAACGCCGCGCGAGUGAAGAAGGUUUUCGGACCGUAAAGCUCUGUUGUUGGUGAAGAAGGAUAGAGGUAGUAACUGGCCUUUAUUUGACGGUAAUCAACCAGAAAGUCACGGCUAACUACGUGCCGGCAGCCGCGGUAAUACGUAGGUGGCAAGCGUUGUCCGGAUUUAUUGGGCGUAAAGCGAGCGCAGGCGGAAGAAUAAGUCUGAUGUGAAAGCCCUCGGCUUAACCGAGGAAUUGCAUCGGAAACUGUUUUUCUUGAGUGCAGAAGAGGAGAGUAGAACUCCAUGUGUAGCGGUGGAAUGCGUAGAUAUAUGGAAGAAUACCAGUGGCGAAGGCGGCUCUCUGGUCUGCAACUGACGCUGAGGCUCGAAAGCAUGGGUAGCGAACAGGAUUAGAUACCCUGGUAGUCCAUGCCGUAAACGAUGAGUGCUAAGUGUUGGGAGGCUUCCGCCUCUCAGUGCUGCAGCUAACGCAUUAAGCACUCCGCCUGGGGGAGUACGACCGCAAGGUUGAAAC